This is a long non-coding RNA of Vigna angularis (adzuki bean), 1553 nucleotides long. RefSeq lists it as uncharacterized. The transcript has 4 exons. The record is from RefSeq and is a predicted model, not a curated record. NCBI's taxonomy places the organism in Eukaryota, Viridiplantae, Streptophyta, Magnoliopsida, Fabales, Fabaceae.
AAGAUGUCAUUUUUUAUAUUUAAACAAAAUUUUUGUUAUAUACAUUACAUAGAUCUUUCAAAUAAUUGUGAAAUUUUGUUAUGUUACAAGACUUCUUGGUUGAGCAGAGCUCCCAAGGUCAAUUCACACAACAAGGUCGUGAGGAUAUUCUUGCCACAGUUAUUGGACGACCAAAGCACCCAGAACGGGUGCAUGCUGCUGGGAUUGGCAUAGGCAUACAACAGUUCUUUGGGUCUUCCUCGCGUCCAUCUUCAUCCAGUUAAGUAAAGAGUAUGAACAAAAGCUGAAGGAGGAAAUAAGAAAAGAGAUAACGCAAGAGAUCACAAAGAAGGUUCAAGCAGAGUUGUAUGAUGAAGUUCCUAAAAUGGUUGCGCGCCAAUUCCAACAGCAUUAAGAGGAUUAUGACAAUCGCUCUCCGCCAUCUCCUGUAGCGGAUCAUGUGGUGCCCCCUACAGGUAAACUUAAUAAGAAUUUUUGUUUAUUAAUUUACUUUUUGUAUAACCUAACAUUUAAUUUGACAAGUAGAAGUGGUAAAGGAAGUUGCUCAGCUGCCGAUGCCCCAAGGGACGACAUGGACGACACUCGUCCAUGUCAAUUAUAUAUUCUCUCUGAUACCGGGACCAUGCUAGUGGCUCGUGGCACAGUCUAUGAGACAGCCACUGUAGUGCAUGGUGUACAACUAGCAGAAGAUGAGGUCAAGGUCACGGUGGAUGAAGUUGUCGUACCAUAUGUCAUUCUUCCUGUGCCUAUAGAUGAGUUUUUCACUAUGCAAGAGGCAUUUAAGUCCUUCAUCGCGUGGCCUAGACAUUUGGUUGGUGAUGUAUUUGAUCCCUCGACAGGUCAAGAGGGAAGUCCUACACCGAAGAAGAAUCAUUUAUCUGAGGACAACCCUCUUUGUGCGUUAGGCGAGCUUGCUAACAUCAUUUCAGCUGUGUCGAUGAUUGUACAGUGGGAUUCUACUACAUUUGGAAGAGAAGCUCAGAUCCCAUUGUACUUGCAUGAUCGAGCAAGAUGUUAGGGAGCUUGCGUCGAGGAGAGAAGAAAUUAAUAUUACACUCAUUCAGUUGUGGAUGAUGUAUAUGUUUGAUGUUAGUAACAAGAAGGGGUUCAAUGAUGUAUAUGGGUUCAUUGACCCCUUUAUGACUCAUGAAAGAAAUAAAUUUGAUGAUAUCCAAACAUACAUCACCACCUGCUUUGCAAUGGGGAAGGAGAUAUAUUUUCUCCCUUAUAUACUUGGGAGAACACUACUGUCUGGUUUUUUUCCUUGCACAAGUCUCCUCCCAGCCCUCUUAGACAUGUAGUAGAUUGGUAAGAACCUCAAUGUUUCAACUUUCUUUGUUAUAUAAAUGUAUGCUAAAGCAAUUUUUUUUAAUAGUUCCCUUGCAACACAUAUGAUGUUAUCUGGGAGAUCUACUGUUACAGCUAAAAAUCUUGCAUGGGAUGCCCUUAAGGUUUGAUAUUUUAGUCCAUACUUUGUUACAUUUUGUUUCAUUCCAAUGAUGUUACUUAACAUUUUAUAAUUAUGAUGAUAUAUUGUAGUGUAAUAGACAAAC